UACAUGGGGUGCAAACGUUGCUCGGAAUUAUUGGGCGUAAAGCGCGCGUAGGCGGUUAUCUAAGUCGGAUGUGAAAGCCCUCGGCUUAACUGAGGAAGUGCACCCGAAACUGGAUAGCUAGAGUACGAAAGAGGGUCGCGGAAUUCCCGGUGUAGAGGUGAAAUUCGUAGAUAUUAGGAAGAACACCGGUGGCGAAGGCGGCCCACUGGUCCGGUACUGACGCUGAGGUGCGAAAGCGUGGGGAGCAAACAGG
This 253-nucleotide ribosomal RNA is filed under the name uncultured bacterium. RNAcentral describes it as "partial 16S ribosomal RNA". It matches the Rfam family "Bacterial small subunit ribosomal RNA", at positions 524 to 776 of the family's 1533-position model. The record is from RNAcentral.